GCCGGUCCUAUCAUCAAGAUAAACUAAAAGGUAAAAAACCAACAAUCAUCAAGAAGCACAGACCUGAUUCACAGACCCAAGAUGGCAUUUCUUUCAAAGUUCUUGUAGGAACAUUAGCAUCCCUUCUGCCGCAGAAUCACCGAUCGCAUGCCCACCUAAUGGGGCACCGCCACUCCCAAAACCCCCAUCCGAGUCAGCCUUCUUCUCUUCUCUACACUGCACCGCCGCAUCCAGCAAAAGGAGAAAAAGGGACAAGGCAUAACUGGGCAAACAAUAGAAAACAACCCGAUCAAAUAAACCAUCAAGAAGAACAUCAAACUCCGACCCAAGUUCUUGGACGCAAAAGUCAAAACACUAGAGACAAGGGCGCUCUGAGUCAAAAGGGUGACAAGCUGUCGGGGAUGUGAGGAGAGAGCGUACUCGAGAGAGGGUUGCAAGGCGACGGCGGGGGCGCUUCGGAGGAAGUCGGCCAUCUCGGCAAGGAAGGAGGCAUCCUUCUUAGGGUUGCGAAGGAGGUCGAGGCAGUAGGGUUAAGGCGAAAUAAGACGAGCAUUAGGCCUUCCCGCCCACGGGGUGUUUUGGGGAUCGAGAGACGUUCUGGAGAAUUCUAAUUGAAGCGCGCGUCUUAUGUAGAUGGGCUCUCAACGAGUUAGGGCUUGAGAUACCGAUUGAAUGGGCCGAACGAAAGCCCGGUUAGUGGGGAACGCUUCCAGCUUGAUUUUGAUCAUACCCG
RNAcentral lists this long non-coding RNA (733 nucleotides) under Musa acuminata (dwarf banana). Its description in RNAcentral is "long non-coding RNA (MACU_LNC004929)". The record is from RNAcentral. Lineage: Eukaryota; Viridiplantae; Streptophyta; Magnoliopsida; Zingiberales; Musaceae.